AUUGAACGCUGGCGGCAGGCCUAACACAUGCAAGUCGAGCGGAGCGGGGACAGGUGAGUAACACGUGGGUAACCUCCCAUCAGAGGGGAAAACACUUGGAAACAGGUGCUAAACCGAUACUGAUGGAUGGACCCGCGGGGCAUUAGCUAGUGGGUGAGGUAACGGCUCACCACGGCCACGAUGCCUAGCCGACCUGAGAGGGUGACCGGCCACACUGGUACUGAGACACGGCCCAGACUCCUACGGGAGGCAGCAGUAGGGAAUAUUCGGCAAUGGACGAAAGUCUGACGGAGCAACGCCGCGUGAGUGAAGAAGGUUUUCGGAUCGUAAAACUCUGUUGUUAGAGAAGCGGUAUCUAACCAGAAAGCCACGGCUAACUACGUGCCAGCAGCCGCGGUAAUUC
This 403-nucleotide ribosomal RNA is filed under the name uncultured bacterium. Its description in RNAcentral is "partial 16S ribosomal RNA". It matches the Rfam family "Bacterial small subunit ribosomal RNA", at positions 30 to 526 of the family's 1533-position model. The record is from RNAcentral.